RNAcentral lists this ribosomal RNA (253 nucleotides) under uncultured bacterium. RNAcentral's name for it is "partial 16S ribosomal RNA". It matches the Rfam family "Bacterial small subunit ribosomal RNA", at positions 524 to 776 of the family's 1533-position model. The record is from RNAcentral.
UACGUAGGGGGCUAGCGUUGUCCGGAAUCAUUGGGCGUAAAGCGCGUGUAGGCGGUCCGGUAAGUCCGCUGUGAAAGUCGAGGGCUCAACCCUCGAAUGCCGGUGGAUACUGUCGGGCUUGAGUACGGGAGAGGCGAGUGGAAUUCCUGGUGUAGCGGUGAAAUGCGCAGAUAUCAGGAGGAACACCGGUGGCGAAGGCGGAUCUCUGGGCCUUACCUGACGCUCAGGCGCGAAAGCUAGGGGAGCGAACUGG